This is an RNA transcript of Poecilia latipinna (sailfin molly), 2797 nucleotides long. It is a transcript of the gene named integrin, beta 2, with no coding region annotated. The record is from RefSeq and is a predicted model, not a curated record. Lineage: Eukaryota; Metazoa; Chordata; Actinopteri; Cyprinodontiformes; Poeciliidae. The transcript has 17 exons.
UUGGGGCGAGGCACAGUUCUCCUAAAUUCUGUCAUACCCGUUAACUUCCUUGUCUGACAGCACAUCUAUCUGCCUACACGCAGAAAAGCACCAUCUUGUGAGUGAGAAUGGACUGGUGUGUGCUUUCACUUCUGCUCCUUAUGCUGGGCAAACAUGGGCUGUGUCAGCAAGAGGAAGUUUGCUCAAAGUCAGCGAUCACUUCGUGUAAAGACUGCAUCACAUCUGGGCCGUUCUGCUCAUGGUGUAAGGAGCUGAAUUUUACCAAAGGUGGAGAACAGGAAGCAGCCCGCUGUGAAACUCGAGCAAAGCUGAUGGCAAGAGGCUGCAAAAGAGAAGAGAUUAUUUCUCCUCAAAACACCGAGGAGAUUAAGCAACAAGACCCUUUAUCCAAGUCGUCUGGCAGUACAGAACCAGUCCAAAUGACUCCACAAAAAAUCGACCUGAAACUGCGACCUGGGCUUCCACACAAAUUCAAAGUGUCCUUUAAGAGGGCUGAAGGUUACCCUGUGGAUCUUUACUACUUGAUGGAUCUCUCCUACUCCAUGAAGGACGAUCUGGCUAAUGUAAAAAGACUGGGAGGAAAUCUUUUUGAUGCUUUGAAUAAAAUUACUAAAGAUGCUAAAAUAGGAUUUGGGGCCUUUGUUGAUAAAACCGUCCUUCCUUACACCAACACCAACGAGGAGAAACUCAAGAAACCAUGUGAUGAAAGUGAGACUCAAUGCCAGGCUGCCUUUGGCUACAGACAUGUGCUCAGUAUGACACCGAGUCGGGACGUGUUCAGACAGAAGGUGGCAGAGCAGUACAUCUCUGGGAACUUGGACUCUCCUGAAGGAAGCCUUGAUGCCAUGAUGCAGGCUGCUGUUUGCGGGGAUAAAAUAGGCUGGAGGAACAGCAGCACUCGGUUAAUUGUACUCGCCACGGAUGCUGGAUUCCACAUGGCUGGGGAUGGAAAACUAGCAGGCAUUCUGGAACCCAAUGAUGAACUGUGCCACAUGACAGGCAACCUGUAUGAAAAAAGUAAUGACAUGGACUACCCGUCUGUUGGACAAUUAGCUAUGCAGCUGGAAAAAAACAAUAUUCAGCCAAUAUUUGCUGUAACAGAAAACGUGAAUAAUGUUUACAAGGAACUCACUAAAAUGAUUCCAAAGUCAGUGGUGGGAGUCUUAUCAUCAGAUUCCAAUAAUGUUGUUCAGUUAAUUGAAAGUGCCUACAAUAACUUGACAUCUAAAGUCACAGUGACUCAUGACAUUCUUCCUGACAACGUACGAGUUGAGUACUUGGCACUGUGUGAACACCGAAUAAAUGAGGGCCCCAAUAAAGGCGUCUGCGAUCAAGUGCAAGCGGAAAAAGAGAUAUCUUUUGAGGUUACUGUGACUGUGGACAAAUGCAUGGAGGAAGAAAAGUCCUUCACUAUCAGCCCACUGGGAAUUAAAGACAAACUGACGGUAACCAUUUCUACCAACUGUGAGUGUCAAUGUAAUGACCCCGAAGGCAGCAAUCACAUUCACUGCAACAGUACAGGAAGCAUCACCUGUGGUAUUUGCAAAUGCAAUCAAGGUUUUGUGGGUCAGUUCUGCAACUGUGCUGUUGGGACUAAAGAUGAAAGCUCUCUUCGAGCAACCUGUCGGAGGCAGAAUGGGACGGAGUGUGAGGGUCGAGGAGAUUGUGUGUGUGGCGCAUGCCAGUGCCACACUACAGAGCAAGGAACCUCUUACCAUGGAAAAUACUGCGAGUGUGAUGAUGAACACUGUGAGAAGUAUGAUAACAAGCUGUGUGCAGGAAAUGGUAAAUGCAACUGCGGACAGUGCCGAUGCGAUCCAGGUUACCAAGGCAGCGCUUGUCAGUGCAAAGUUUCUGACGAGGGCUGCCGUACACUAGACGGCUCUAUUUGCUAUGGCAGAGGGAAUUGUGAAUGUAACCAAUGCAAAUGCAAAGGUGGAUAUCAAGGUCCACAAUGCAAGGAUUGCAGUGGCUGUCCUUCUGCAUGCCUGACGAAAUUGAGUUGCAUUAGCUGCCUGUCAUUGAGUAAAUCGAAAGAGAACUGCAUCAAUGUCUGCAACAAUACCAUUUCAGAAUAUAAGAAGGUGGAAAAAUUCAACUUGCAGAGCAAAGAAUGCCACCAGAAGGACAGUGAGGGGUGCUGGAUCAAAUUCAAGCUGGAGCAGUUAACUGGAAUGGAUAAUUACAAUGCUGAAAUUCUGACAAAGAGAGAAUGCCCUGAACCACCCAACGUCAUCGCCAUCAUAGCAGGUUCCCUUGCAGCUGUGGCUGUAAUUGGGAUUCUGUUGCUGAUGCUGGUCAAGUUACUGAUCCACAUGAAGGACCUGAAGGAGUUCAAGAAAUUUGAGAAUGAAAAGAAGAAAUCCAAGUGGGCAAAUGCUGACAAUCCGCUGUUCCAGAAUCCCACCACUACCGUGGCGAACCCUCUGUUUACUGGAGAGUGAAGACCCUCUGCUACAUCUUGACAUUUAUUCAAAGCUUUGCUUGAAACAUAAGAUGCUCUCAGUGCUUUCAUUUAUUUGAUUUAUGUGAUUUUAUGAUUAUGUUGUAUUAAAAUCUACUUAACUUUGUAAAAUAUGUAUUUUUGAGGAUCGAGUACGGUUGGUUUGAGGAGCUCGUAUAAACCUAAUUGCUAAUAUUAUAGUAGGUCUAUUAGUUUAAAAUGACAUUUUCUGCUGUUUAUGGAGACUGUACAGUUUAUCUGAUGUCGCAGUUUGGAGAAUUGCACCAUUUAUUUUCAUGAAAUGCAAAGUCUUAGUACAAAUAAACUCAUCAGAAUAUGACCACUUGCCUUAAA